CAGACGAGAUUCUGCAGACUUUAAAGGCAAUACGCCUGAAAUUGAACUCAACCCAUGUAUGAAUUUGUAAUCGUAAUCAAUAAUUGGUUUUUGAGGAUACACACAAUUUACUCUCUACAGGACAAAACCCAGGGGUGUUUUGAUUGAGGUAUAACUCAAUCCUUAAAUGCCGUCUGUGUCCUCCAUAUUUACGUGUCUAAGUUUUGGAUUUAUUUACCUAACCUCGCUAAAAAUACAUACACGCGCGCGCGCGAAUAUAUAUAUAUAUAUGUGUGUGUGUGUGUGUGUGGGGGCGGGGGGGGGGGGGUUACUCUCUACAGGACAAAACCCAGGGGUGUUUUGAUUGAGGUAUAACUCAAUCCUUAAAUGCCGUCUGUGUCCUCCAUAUUUACGUGUCUAAGUUUUGGAUUUAUUUACCUAACCUCGC
RNAcentral lists this long non-coding RNA (427 nucleotides) under Olea europaea (common olive). RNAcentral describes it as "long non-coding RNA (OEUR_LNC008147)". Lineage: Eukaryota; Viridiplantae; Streptophyta; Magnoliopsida; Lamiales; Oleaceae. The record is from RNAcentral.